AGUAUAAACAGUAUACUAUCGAGAAUUAUAAUUUAUACUAAGCCGGAAUAACGUAAACAUAUUUUUGUUUGCAUUCUGUCAUUUGCAAAAUUACAUCAAAUCGCGUGUGCAACAAUGUCCGUUUGAAUAUUUUCCGGUAAACUUCCCAGACAAAAUUCGGCCAAAAAUACCAGUCGUUCCAUUGCAAGUGUUCCGCGAACUUCCAUUAUACAAAUCCAGAGUUUUUACGGACCGCAAUCUAACUAAAAUGACCUAAAUUGGACUCUAUUAGCGUCCGACCGGAGCCACACGACAAGGCAAUUGGCAGUGGAAGUGGAUAUUGCCGAGAACGCCUUUCAAUUUGAUUUGGACUGCUACAAACGAAGCGACUAGUGCACGCGGUUUUCAUCCGUUUGGUGGCCUGUUUGGGCAAUUUCCAGAACAGAACUGCAGCCCUUUCUCAAGGACGACUUCCGCCUACAACCCGUAAAAAGUGUGUACACCUGAUCCCGGAACUACUCACACAGCUUCGGUGCAAGAAAACGCUCUAACACCUGCCAGCUACGACAAGGGAACAGCUACCCCUAUUCCCAGUGGAUUAUUUGAUAGGAAAAACUCGGCCUCUUAUUUUGAUCGUCGAAUCCAAUGCGAAUGAAUGAAUGAAGAUUAGCUACACUUUCUACAUGGACCAUGGAGAAUGGAGGAGGAUUACUGAGCACCGGAAGACGAGCAACACUAAUCCACUUCUAUGUUCAGCGUGUCAACUAUGUCCCGCUUCGUACCUUCAGGUGAACGACCAUCACGAAUGUGACGAAAUGUCGAAUUAUUUAUAAAUGAAGAAUAAAACAUGUAUAUUUAUCUUA
Long non-coding RNA from Armigeres subalbatus, 842 nucleotides. RefSeq lists it as uncharacterized. The record is from RefSeq and is a predicted model, not a curated record. The transcript is spliced from 2 exons. Lineage: Eukaryota; Metazoa; Arthropoda; Insecta; Diptera; Culicidae.